GCCCAGGGGCACGGCUGGGCCGGUGCGAGGGCUCACAAACACUGCAAAAGCUGCCCCGGACGCACGCAGGGCCAGUCGCACCACGCAAACAGAACAACUGAGGUUAACAGAAGUGACAAACGAGGCCUGGCCGCAGGAGCAGCACCAAGCCCGUCCCCACGCGAGGCUCCUACCCCGGCGGAGAGUGGGAGCCCGGCGCGGGGCUGCCGCCAGGGCUGCUGGCUGUGCCCAGGCCGGGCCCGGCGCCUCGGCCAGCCCGCGGCUGCCCCCGCUCGCAGCGGCUCCCGGCUCGGCAGCACAGCCACGCCGGCUCCCGCAGCCCGGCCGUUUGUACCGCCUAGAGGGCAGGGCCCGGCCCCGCUGCCCUGCCGCAGCGCACACAGCAGCGGCCGCAGCGCGGGGGAAGAGGAGGAGGAGGAAGAGGUGAAGACUGAGACGGAGGUGCCGAGCGCCGGCCGCGGCGCUCCUCCCUCGGCCCGGCCGCCUGCCGCCGAGGCGAGACAAGAUGGCGGCGGGCCCCGCCGGGCAGCGGCAGCAGCUGCAGCGACACGGCCCGUCCCGCCGGCAGCGCCGAGACGCGCAGCUACGCCUCCACCCGACCAGGUGCUAGGUGGGGGUGCCCCGUUACGCUGCAGGGCUGUACCAAGAUGAAUGCGAGCUGCUCCACGUAAGCAAGUGCACAGGAUGCUGUUUUUUAUGUCUCUUCCCGCUGACAUGGUUUUGUUACCUGCUGGCUGAAAGCCUGUGUUCGGUACAUUUCACACAACCAGUUGCAGGAGCAAAGAGCUGCUUCUUGCUGGAACAGAAACUCCAGUUUCAAGGAUGGCUGCGUCAAGACAUACUGGGAUCUGUCGUGUGAACGCUAAACUGAGUCUAAGCUUCAGCCCUUUAUAUGGAACCUGUUUGCAGAAAGAGGAAGCUACAGUACUGAAAACAGGCUCUCAGUGCUUGACUGCAUGAGCUUCUUACAGACCAGGCUUCUCAAAAGAAGAAAAAAAAAAAAGAGUUGUCUUACUUCAAAAACUUUGUGAAAUGCAAACUCUGUUAAAUUCAGUUAAAUCCUUUCAAGGUUCUUCAUUUGGCACUAGUAAACCAGUGAUUGUCUUUUUUUUUUUCUUUUUUUUUUCUUUUUUUUUUUUUUUUUUAGAAAAAGAGCUGUAACUAAUAACGGGGGGGAGGAGAAACUAAGGUUACUACUCUAUGUACAGGAUGUCUUUCUGUCACUUUAGAAUAAAAUUUAUAGUUUGAUUUAGUAUCGAGAUCAGAGGUCUACUGAACAUUAAUGAAAGUGUGUACUUUCUAAGAAUUUUUGAGUAAACCAUUGCUGUAACUUGCA
Molecule: long non-coding RNA, 1336 nt
Organism: Dromaius novaehollandiae (emu)
Lineage: Eukaryota; Metazoa; Chordata; Aves; Casuariiformes; Dromaiidae
Exons: 4
Source: RefSeq, a predicted model, not a curated record